AAGAAAAUUAAUACAAUGCCCUACUGCUUCUGCCAUGUAAAAAUCAACACAAAUCUAAAGAAUCUGGUUUGAUUCCCCGUUUAGAUAUUGGCAUUUAAUAAUUAGGUUGUUUCCAAUUUCUAACUGUUAAAUGAAGACUUGGAUUCAAAACACAGCUAUAUGUACAUGUGGCCUUUUUGCUUGUGUGGGUACAGAUCAUGGUAGAGUCAAGUACUAUUACUGAAAUGUGUCUGAGAGACCCACCUCAGUUGCAACUACAAAUAACUUCUGGACUGGGGAGAAUAGAGGGAUGAAAGGAUUUAUAUAUGCAGAGUUGGAGAGUGGUGAAUAUCAUAUGCAGAGACAUGAUUUAUUAGUCAAUGCUACGUAGCUAGAAUAUUUGUGUGAUAGGUGAGAAAUCUGCAGUCCCACAGAACAGGUAGCAAGAACUUAGCGAACUUGCUGAGAUACCUGUGUUGCUAACAAAUGGGCAGAGGGGGUAUGUGAAAUGAACAGGAGAGGGGGGGGGGGGAAAGGACCAUGGGAAUAACUUUCAGUGGUUGGCAUUAGUGGUUGGUCCUUUGUCAGCCCUGCUAGUCAGUAAAGUGGAUAAUCAGGGCAAACAGUUAUAGUGAGUCUGAUAAGAGAUGCAUGCAGUUAGCAGGGUUCUCUUGGCAUCUUUCCACUUUGUGUUUUGGGUAGUACUGAGUUCUUGAGCUGAGGGACUGUGGUUUGUGUCUGAACUUAGUAACUGCAGCAAUGAACUGGCUGAGUCUCUGUGUUUGAUUGGAGUUGAAAUCCUUAGCUAAAAUUCAGCAUAUCCCGAGCUGGCAUUCUGUUUUUCUACCAGUUGGAGAGGGGAAUAAUCUGUGUUCUUGAAAUGCCUAGAAACUAUUGGAGUUGUCUCCUAAUCACAGAUGUCAUUUAGCCACAUAAGGGAUCAAAAUGAAAACCAGACUACCAACCAAUGAAGUUACUUGAGUGUAAUGUCUUUGUGCUUCUGUCCUGGAUUUGACGUGUGAAACCAGGCCUGCUUUCUACUGGAUCAUGCUGCAGACGAUGAUAAAGGAAAAAAUAAGUGAGUGAAGACCUUCUUGAAGUGGUACAUCUGAAGAAAAGAAUCAGAGAUUCUGCAGAAGAAACAAAGAAUCAUUUCAGAGAAAGUUUGUUUAAACAAUCCAGACAGCUCUUGUGCAUGUUUGUGUGUUAGUGAAUUACAGGGGAAGAAGGUAAAAACUUCCAAUUACUUGGCAUCAGAGAAACAUUGUUAUUCUAAACUCCAAUAAAGAUGAACAGUGAAAAUGUGAAGCAGAUAAGCAAAGCUUUUCAGUUACAAUUUUAUUAUCUUAAUAAGAAUAAAUCCUUCAGCACGUAAACUAAAUAACUGUGAUUAUAUUUAUCAAAAAGCUUUUUCAGAUAGAGUGUAUAAGCACAAUAUGAUGUCUGUAGGAAUGCAAACGUGCUGUUGCCAUGGAGAUUCUGCCAUCAUCACAGUAGAACGCUGCAAAAGCUACCAGUAUUCAGCUUACAGAAGAGAAAAAAAAAGAACCAGACAUAACCUUAAUUGAUUUCUACAGGCUUAAUUAAAUCUAUGUUCUAGAAGUGAAGCAGGAGGUACAGUCCUGCCAAAGUAAAUUCAGAUUACUUUCAGAAAGUGAGCUAACUUGUAUUCUGGGGUUAUAGUAACUUUCCAUGCAGCAAAAGAGCAAAAGCCAGAAGAGAAAGAAGAGUCUAGUUGAUAAUGAUUAGCAGAGGUGCAACCAAGCAAGUAACUAAGACGAACAUACACUGGGUGAGAAAAGUGAUUACACGCAGGUACACAUUGUACACAGGUGUACACAUCUGUGGUAGAAGAAAACAUCCACCCUAAAGAGGUAACUUGGUGGACUGUGAGCUGACUGAUGGGUGUAAUGUUGUCAUCACAGGUGCAGAUUCUGGUUGGAAGCCUGUAACUAGUGGUAUUCCCAGCGGUCAGUGCCAGGGACAGUCUUGUUCAACCUUAAUUGGCAACCUGGAUGAAGGGGGACAGUGUCCACACUCAGCAAGUUUGCUGAUGAUGCAAAGCUGGGAGGUGUGGCUGACACACCAGGAGGCUGUGCUACCACCCAACAAGACCUGGACAGACUGAAGAGUUGGACAGGGAGAAACCUGAUGAGGUUUAACAGGAGCAAUUGUAGAGACUUGCACCUGUGAAGGAAUAACCACAUGCAUCUUAGUACAGGUUAGGGGAUGACCUACUGGAGGGGAGUUUUGCAGAGAAGCACCUGAAUGUCCUGGUGGACAACAGGUUGGCCACAAGCCAGCAGUGUGCCCUGGUGGCCAAGAAAGUCAAUGGUAUCCUGGGGUACAUUUAAAAAAAGCAUGGCCAGCAGGUUGAGGGAGGUGAUCCUCCCCCCUCUACUCUGCCCAAUUGAGGCCAUGUUUAGAAUACUGUAUCCAGUUCUGGGCUCCCCAGUUCAAAAAAACUGACAUUUCCUAGAAUGAGCCCAGCAAAGGGCUAUGAAGAUGAUAAAGGGCCUUGAGCAUCUCCUGUAUGAGGAAAGGCUGAGUAAUCUGGGUCUGUUCAGCCUGGGGAAAACAAGAGUGAGGAGAUACAUGAUUAAUGUUUGUAACUCUCUAAAGGGAGGUGGGAGGCAAAUGGAUGAGGCCAGGUUCUUCUCCAUGUUGCAGUAGGACAAGGAGCAAUGGCCUAAAACUUGAACAGAGGGAGUUCCAUACAAACAUGUGGAAGAAUUUCUUUACAGUCUGGGUGAUGGAGCAUUGGCACAGGUUGCUCAGAGAGGUUGUGGAGUCUCUUUCUGUGGAGAUAUUCAAGACCUGACUGGAUGCUGACCUCUGCAACCUAUUGUAGAGAACCUACUUUAGCAAGGAUGUUGAGCUCAAAGAUUUAUUGAGGUCCCUCCCAACUUCUGCAGUUCUCUGAGACUGUGAACUUGAAGAUGUUAAGCAUAGACAAAAACUGAUGUCUGGAAAAUCCUGACCUAGUUAGAACUACUCAAAGGAGAAGAAAGAUGUCAUUGAAUACACAGGUUAGACUACAUGGGGGAUAUUUUACUAAACUUUACAUACUUAUUCCUUUAAAAAUUUUUGCAGAAAAUACUCCUGACUGAAUGUUGUACAUUCUGUAUGAAUCCCUUUUUUUUGUGUAGAAGUAUCUGUCAACAAGUAUGGACUCCUUGAAAGUAGAAUGACUUUUUUUCUAUGUGUGAGAUUAUAGAAAGAAAAACUGCAUACUGUAAUCUUUUGUUGCUGCUGUGAUGCAUCUCAAGUAUGAAUUUUGCAGUUUCUUACUGUUCUCUGUAUCUUGUUUUCCAGUGUUCUUUUCAGGUCAUUAAAGACAUUAUUUCUACUUAAAAGAAUAAUACUUUCAACCUUUUU
Molecule: long non-coding RNA, 3357 nt
Organism: Gallus gallus (chicken)
Lineage: Eukaryota; Metazoa; Chordata; Aves; Galliformes; Phasianidae
Source: Ensembl